This 3069-nucleotide long non-coding RNA is filed under the name Sus scrofa (pig). Its description in RNAcentral is "lncRNA (ENSSSCG00065053169.1)". The record is from RNAcentral. Lineage: Eukaryota; Metazoa; Chordata; Mammalia; Artiodactyla; Suidae.
GUUCUCCACGUGGUGCUUAAAAAUCCCAGGGCCCGCGCCGGGCCCAUUAACACAGUCUCUGGGCGGUGGACCGACGCACCCAAUUCGGGGGGUCGGUGGGGGAUGGAGCAGCUGCCCAAGUGAUUCCCAGGUGCCGCCAUGGAGGACGUGCGCUGGGAAGGCGGGGGCCGGGUUCGAGCAGGAGGGCCCUUGGCUCCGACGCGGCCCCUGUGCUCCGGAAGCGAACGCUGCCUCGGACAAGCCACAGCAGAUCAACGCUGAGCCCUUCCCACCGGGGUCCAGGUGCUGGGAUCCAUCAGCGAGCAGACCAGACACACCCGCCCUCCUGGUGGACCCGACUUUCAGGUGGACACCCGGAGGCCAGUAGUCCCUGGGGCUCCACUCGCCAGGGGACAUCUGGAGCGGGCCUGUAGGAAAGCCACAGAGAUCCACAGGGUCCCCCAUCCCUGGGGGGACACCGGCGAGGCUCCCCAUCUGUGCUCUGCACCCCGCUCCCAAGCACUGGCCAGAGCCCGCGGAUUCCAUUCCGAAAGCUUCCUAAUGACGUCCUUGCCUGGAGCUGGGCUUGGGAAGGAAGAGAGAAGCUGCUGGACCCUCCGUGCCCCUCCCCUUGACGCUGGGGUUUGGAGCUGCCUUGACGUGCGCUCGGGUCUGGUACAUUUGCUCCCUGGAGACUUGGGAAGAGACGCCCCAGUUUGAUUCUGAAGUCGCACAUCUUUGGGUCGAUCUGGCCCAUUGGGAGAUGCUCAGUUAGGCAACAGUUCCUAAGACACCCUCACUGUGGACACUUGCCAGUUGGGGGGUCUGCAAAGCCACCUUUAGUUUUAGCGAUUCACUAGGGCUCCCAGGUCUGGCUGAAAGCUGAGCUCUGCCCACGGUCACGGUGAAGCAGUGACAGGAUACAGAGUGCAAUCAGCCAAGGGAAGCGGGGCCAGGGCAGAAUCCAGGGAAGUUCCACCCACGGACCUUCCAGGAAUGCCAGCACUACCCUCCUGGCACCGAAGUGGGACAACACGCACAGGGCAGGGCCAGCUGGGAAGCUCCUCUGAGCCGGGUUUUCGCUGGGCGCCAGCAUGUGGGCUCAGCUGACUCCCCCUGUGCUGAGCUCAGCCCUCAGCCCCUCUGGCAGGACCCGCGCCCCAGCCUUGACUCAGGUGUUCAACUGUUUGUCGAGACCCUAAGCCCCCAAGAACACGAACACUUCUAUCAGACGUGACAUUCCAAGGGCUUUGAGAUCAUCUCCCAAAGCUGAAGGCAGGGGCCAGCUGCUUUGGGGACAAGAGGAAAUUCUUCAUGACCCAGGGAGGGAUCCAUCCAGAUUUCCUAGAAAUUAACCUGGAAGACUCCUGCUUCCUACCCCACAUUGCAGGUGCACCUGUGACUACAUGUGGUGUACAAUCUGAAUACUCCUGCCCCCGAUCGUAGGGCUUUGGAAUUGGGGAAGGACUUUAGGAGCCAACAUCACUGGCCAUCAGGGAAAAUGCAAAUGCAGACCAGGGCGAGGUACCACUUCACCCCAGGUGGGAUGCUUACCAUCCGACAGUCGGGGGGAAAAGCAAGAGCUGGCAAAGAUGUGGAGAAGUCGGAACCUCACACACUGCUGGUGGGACUGUGUGAGGGUGUGGACGCCGUGGAAAGCGACCUGGGGACUCAUCACACAGUUAAACGCAGCAUUCCCCGGGACCCAGCAUUUCCACUCCUAGGUGUGUUACACAGGGCGAUUAAAAUAUACAUCCACACAAAAAAUGCCGGGAAUGUACACAGCAGCAUAAUUUUAUUGUAAUAGCCGAAAGGUAGGAGCAACUCAGCUGUCCAUCAACUGAUGAAUAGAUACACAUGAAAUGCAGAAUAUCGGAGCUCGCAUCAUGGCCCGGCGGCUAGUGAACCCGACUAGCAUCCGUGAGGACAUGGGUUCGAUCUCUGGCCUCGCUCGGUGGGUUAAGGAUCCGGUGUUGCCGUGAGCUGUGGUGUAGGUCACAGACACAGCUUAGAGCCCACAUCGCUGUGGCUCUGGCGUAGGCUGGCGUCUGCAGCUCCAAUUCGACCCCUAGCCUGGGAACCUCCAUAUGCCGCGGGUGCAGCCCCCCCAAAAAGACAAAAGACAAAAAAAAAAAAGAAAGAAUUCAGUGUUGUCACUGCAGUGGCUCAGGUCGCUACUAUGACGUGGUUUGAUCCCUGGCCCAGAACUUCCACAUGCCACAGAUGUGGCCAAAGGGAAAAAAAAAGGUAGAGAGACGGAGUCUGAAGAAAUACGUGCAGUAUGUAUGAAAGACCAGCUUGGAGAGCAAGUUCUGACACUAGAACUAUAAAUAGCUAUCAAAUUAUACAAUAUCUGACUUAAGGAACAAUAGAAAAUAAUGCAAAAUGAGGCAUUAAAAAUCCCAUUUUUGAGCCUCCCCCCCAACUAGCAUGCAGUGCUGGUAUAAGAACUAUGAACUAGACAUUUCCAUGCAACUUAAUGGUAGGGGAGGAAAUUUCACAGUAUUUUUGCAGCACCCUUUGGAAAUAAGCAUCCGAAGCUUAUAUAAUAUUCAUACCUUCAACCACAAAUCUUGCUUCGCAAUUCAUUCUCAAAGAGCAGCGAAAUAAACGCACGAAUAUUUAGAUGCAAAUAUUAGUUUAUAACCACCAGAAACCUCCUAAAUAUGUACAAAUAUGUAAACGGUUAAAUAAAUCAUGGUAUAUUUAACAUGUUCUGUGUGCCCAUUCAAAAGUGACUGAAUGGCACGGGGAAAUGCAAGAAGCAAAAUAUUGGGCAGGAAAUGCAAGAUAUAAAACUGAAAUCACAGUCUGUCUUCAUUCUGAAAUAAGUCAGUUCAGAGGCAUACAUGGCCAGAAAAAUACCAAGCAGACCAGUGCUCGAUACAUAGAGUAGGUUGGCAGUAAUACUGAGGAACGUUCGAAACGUGAAUGAAGCACAUCCACUGAGAUACAAGCACUGGCUCUGGGAAGGUGUGAUCUGGGGUCGCAUUGGUUUUGUCCCUGAUUCUUGUAUGUUUCUCAAAGUUUCUGCAAUCCACAUGAAUCAACCUUGUCAUCAGAAAAUAGCGUAAUUAAAAUUUCAAAGUC